Molecule: long non-coding RNA, 1488 nt
Filed under: Homo sapiens (human)
Lineage: Eukaryota; Metazoa; Chordata; Mammalia; Primates; Hominidae
Description: HSALNT0127983
Source: RNAcentral
CGGGGGGCGGGGCUUGGGCAUGGCGGGCUGCAGGUCCUGAGCCCUCCCCUGGGGGUAGGCGGCUGAGGCCUGUUGAGAAUUAAAGCGCGGCGCGGGCGGGCUGGCAGUGCUGGGGGACCCGGCGCACCCUCCACAGCUGCUGGCCCCGGUGCUAAGCCCCGCUGAGCCUGCGCCCACCCGGAACUGGCGCUGGCUCGCGAGCGCGGCGCGCAGCCCCAGCUCCCGCCCGUGCCUCUCCCUCCACACCUCCCUGCAAGCAGAGGGAGCCGGCUCCGGCCUCAGCCAGCCCAGAAGGGGGCUCCCACAGCGCAGCAGCGGGCUGAGGGGCUCCUCAAGCACUGCCAGAGUGGACGCUGUGGCCUAAAGAGCAUUUGAGGAAACUGUCUUCCUGAACUCCACAAAUUUUGUAUGUUAUUUCAGCACUUGAGGAAACCGUCUUCCUGAACUCCACUGCAUCUCAGUGCGAGUCUCCUUCACCUCCUGUCUGGAAUACAUAACAGCCUCGACACUCCAGCUGCAUCUACUCAGAAGCAUUCUUUGCCCAGGAAACUCGUCCUUUUAAAAAUGCAUAUUUCAUGAAGAGUUUUGGGCAUAAUCACGUUUGGCUAUCAUAGUUUAACUAAAAUUGAGUUCUUUUGUUCAAAAGUGUGCAUGACGGGGUUGCUAGAAAAAUUAAAAAAACAAACAAACAAUAUCCAGUUAAAUCUGAAUUUGAGACAAUGAAUCUAAAGUCUAAAUAUGUCUCAAAAAUUAAGACAUAUAAUACUUAUAUUAAAAUAUGGGAUGGGCAAUAGUUAGGAUUUACCACUACAAAACAUUAUUUUCUGUUUAUUGAGAAAUUCAAAUUUAAUUGGCCAUUCUAUUUUUUUAAUUUCAUAAUUCUGACCAUUCUAGAAGUUUGAAAGCAAGUAAAUGCCUGUUCAUGUAAACCAUGAGCCUCAGUGACUAUGCCAUCCACUUUAUGAACAAUGGAAAACAAUUAUGGAAACCUAAUUCCAAAUAUAUAGUAAGUUAAAAUGGAAUAUUGCAUUCAGUACAUAUGACAGAACUGUUAUUUUGAAUAUAAAGAAGUAUAUAGUUUUAAUAAAUGGAAAAUCAGUUUUCUACUUGCUCCCAUUAACAAAGAUUGAACAAAAUAUUUAAAGAAUAUUGGUGAGGAGGGAAGCCUGCCUAGCAUCUUACAUUUGUAGGUUCAGACCUGCCUUAGGUCUUGUUCUUAUUCCUGUCUGUGGUUUUCUCUCUGCCUCUGUUAUUAUGAGCAGAGACUUACACCAUAUCAUGAUGAACACAUGGUCCAACAAUAGUUCCCCAGGUGAAAAGAAGUAUCUCUACAAAAUUUCCAGGAGGCGUUUGACAAAGAGAUUUAAAAAUUACAUGAAAGUAAUUAUAUCUACUGCUUGCCUCCCCACAUGCCCUUUCCUGGUAUUACUCCAUUUGUAUUGUUUUAAUAUAAGCUGGCAACUUAUCACAUUGGAAAGUGAACAGAUG